Long non-coding RNA from Salmo salar (Atlantic salmon), 1340 nucleotides. RefSeq lists it as uncharacterized. The record is from RefSeq and is a predicted model, not a curated record. NCBI's taxonomy places the organism in Eukaryota, Metazoa, Chordata, Actinopteri, Salmoniformes, Salmonidae.
AGCAUUUUCUGGAAUUUUCCAAGCUGUUUAAAGGCACAGUCAACUUAGUGUAUGUAAACUUCUAACCCACUGGAAUUGUGAUACAGUGAAUUCUAAGUGAAAUAAUCUGUCUGUAAACAAUUGUUGGAAAAAUGACUUGUGUCAUGCACAAAGUAGAUGUCCUAACCGACUUGCCAAAACUAUAGUUUAAGAAGAAAAUUUGUGGAGUGGUUGAAAAUCGAUUUUUAAUGACUCCAACCUAAGUGUAUGUAAACUUCCGAUUUCAACUGUAUAGUGUAUAUGUUCUGAUCAGCCUCUCUUGUGUUAUUCAAGCCUUGACGACUCAUUCAACGAGGAGAGCUACCUCAUAGAGGGUGGACCACACUCUUCUACCUCAUCUUUUUUUUAGGGGAUGCGGAUUUUCCUUCCACAGUCCAGAGAGGGAGCAUACCUAAGUGGACAGGAUAUGAUAGGAAACCUUUUAAAUCCAACCAAAAGUUUUCCUCUUCCAAAUGACCAGUUCCAGGAGCUGGUCCUGGGUCUGCUGUUGGACAUCAGUCAGUCAGUGAAGGAGCUGGUAGGAUGGGUGGGAGUUCUGUAACACUGGGAUUCUACUGAGGAUUCUGGACCUGGAACAGACUUCCAGUUUGAUGUGUGUAGAAUCCUGGAAGACAUGGCCAACCUGGAGAGAGUUCUAGAGCCUCCGGAGGUAGCUGCCCAGAUGAAACAGUUCCUGAGUAGGAUCGGUGGGAACACGUUGAGGGACAAUGUCACUGGAGUGAUGGAGAGGCUGAUGACCAAUGAAGCGAUGAGCAACUUCAACAUGAAAGGAAGGAAAUGGACCAAGAAGAGUUCUCUCACACUCCCUGAGCAAAAUCUUUAUUGGUAAGAGUACAGAGUAUAUAAGCAGAGUGGAGCGGUCGGAAAUAACGCUCAUCGCUCACUGAGCCAGCGCUCCACAUCCUUUCCAACCGCACCAGAAAAAAAAAAAAGUUCUUCAAACACAGAAGAAAAAAAACAGCUCAAAAUUUGCUCCAUUCAUUCAAAUCAUCAUUUCACCAACACCCAUCUAUUUUUGUGACUACCUGGACCUACCAUUUGCUUUCGAAAUAUUGAAACCAAACUAUAUGAUUUGAAUCAAAUGUAUUUUAAUAAACAUGAAAAGGUGACUGUAAGAAGCGCUUAUCAUUUCAAAUAGGCUACAAGUCGUAUUAAACAACAUAUGAACACACUCUAAAUAGGUCAGAAGCCAGACAGGUACUCUGUGAAGGAAUGGAAAUUAAUUAUUUAGGCCAGUGGUUCCCAAACUUUUUAUAGUCCCGUACCCCUUCAAACAUUCAACCUCCAGCUGCAUACCUCUC